CCUACGGGAGGCUGCAGUGGGGAAUAUUGGACAAUGGGGGCAACCCUGAUCCAGCCAUGCCGCGUGUGUGAAGAAGGCCCUCGGGUUGUAAAGCACUUUCAGUGAGGAAGAACGCCUGGUGGUUAAUACCCAUCAGGAAAGACAUCACUCACAGAAGAAGCACCGGCUAACUCCGUGCCAGCAGCCGCGGUAAUACGGAGGGUGCGAGCGUGAAUCGGAAUUACUGGGCGUAAAGCGCGCGUAGGUGGCUUGAUAAGCCGGUUGUGAAAGCCCCGGGCUCAACCUGGGAACGGCAUCCGGAACUGUCAAGCUAGAGUGCAGGAGAGGAAGGUAGAAUUCCCGGUGUAGCGGUGAAAUGCGUAGAGAUCGGGAGGAAUACCAGUGGCGAAGGCGGCCUUCUGGACUGACACUGACACUGAGGUGCGAAAGCGUGGGUAGCAAACAGGAUUAGAUACCCGGGUAGUC
Molecule: ribosomal RNA, 465 nt
Filed under: Vreelandella stevensii
Lineage: Bacteria; Pseudomonadati; Pseudomonadota; Gammaproteobacteria; Oceanospirillales; Halomonadaceae
Description: partial 16S ribosomal RNA
Rfam family: Bacterial small subunit ribosomal RNA
Source: RNAcentral